This 1411-nucleotide long non-coding RNA is filed under the name Anolis carolinensis (green anole). Its description in RNAcentral is "lncRNA (ENSACAG00000039526.1)". The record is from RNAcentral. Lineage: Eukaryota; Metazoa; Chordata; Lepidosauria; Squamata; Anolidae.
CCCCCCUUUCCCUUUCUCUCUCCUUCUCUCUCUCUCUGGGUGUGCGGUUGGCACAGGCUUGGCGGCCCCUCCUUUCCCCGCCUGCCAGGCCCCGGGGCUCCUGCGCGGACGUGUCGGGACUCGGGCUUGGGGCGCGGGCGCGGCGGGUGCUCGCUGCGCGUGGACGGCGCUCGCCUUCCUCCUCUCCAGAGAGGAACCAGGAGGAGGAGGAAGGAGCACAAGAAGCCCUUCGGGACCCCCUCUGAGCCCGGCCUGACCUCCUCUUGCCAGCCCCGCACUUCCCUUACCCACCCCACUCAGAACCAAGGCGCUAGCGUGGAACAGUCAAAAGUUGUAGCGAGAAGAGGGUGUGUACCUAGAUAGGGAGCGGCGGAGGUGGUGGGGGGGGGGGAGGGGGGAGAGCGCUCCUUGCCAGCCUCCUUCUUCCUCUCCUCGCCUUGCCUCGCUCUCAGAUGGGGGGCAGAGGAGGAGCAGGACCUGUCCGCACGCCGCGCCGAAGAGAAGACAACCCCGCGCUGGUGCCGCCUUCGCCAACCUGCCCCGCGCCUCCACGCCUGACCCACUGAAGGAAGGAUAUAUUGGGGUGGAAAGCAGAGCAGAAAGCAGGCCCGGGGUGUAGAGUUCGGACUCGCAGGUUGUUGCAAAGAGUUCUAUCCCUCGCCAUGGCUAAGAAACCAGGCAAAGGCAUGAGGUCCUCCAAGAGCAGGAGAACGGGGCAAGAGUAGGCAGCCCAGGAGAGACAGCCCACUCACUCCAUCCUCGCCCAGUUUGCCCUCGCAUCCAACCAGCUGCUGGGAGAGAGGAAACUUCGAGCAGAGCAUCCAAAGAUGGGACAUCAUCCGCUGCUUCUCUGGCUCGGUCCCCUGCUUCUUCUCAGCCUUUGGGGCCAAAGGGACUAUCAAAUGCAGCAUUGUCCAAACACGAAUCAAGGAACACGAAAGGCACUGCAAACUAUCCCAACCAGAGAAGUCAGCCAUGGCAGAGCACUUGAUGAACCAACCUGGACACAGCAUAUUAUUUGAGAACACAGAAAUGCUGGACCACUCAUGUCAGACUACACAGUCUGAAAUCCACAAGCAUGUGGACAUUUUCAACAGAAAGAAGGAAACCAUGAAAAUAAACAAAAGCUGGCUACCAGUAUUUUAAAAAACUCUAAAAUCAGGACAUUAAAUAAAAAACAACACUCUGAAAACAGGGGAACUCCAGACAUGAAACAAUUAGGGCCAGCUAACACCUCUUAACAAAGGAUUCACCCAGGCAGGAAGAAGCCAGGCUUUCAAGCUACAACACUUUUCAGUGCUAAUCAAGGCGAUUAACUGCAACAUUUGCACUUGCCUUCAACAGACAAGAAUUCUUACUCCCACCCUGAACCUUCCACAGAUAUAUAAACCCCACUUGUCUAGUUUCCAAC